This 449-nucleotide ribosomal RNA is filed under the name uncultured bacterium. RNAcentral describes it as "partial 16S ribosomal RNA". It matches the Rfam family "Bacterial small subunit ribosomal RNA", at positions 29 to 523 of the family's 1533-position model. The record is from RNAcentral.
AACGAACGCUGGCGGCAUGCCUAACACAUGCAAGUCGAACGAGACCUUCGGGUCUAGUGGCGCACGGGUGCGUAACGCGUGGGAAUCUGCCCUUGGGUCCGGAACAACAGUUAGAAAUGACUGCUAAUACCGGAUGAUGACUUCGGUCCAAAGAUUUAUCGCCCAGGGAUGAGCCCGCGUCGGAUUAGCUAGUUGGUGAGGUAAAGGCUCACCAAGGCGACGAUCCGUAGCUGGUCCGAGAGGAUGAUCAGCCACACUGGGACUGAGACACGGCCCAGACUCCUACGGGAGGCAGCAGUGGGGAAUAUUGGACAAUGGGCGAAAGCCUGAUCCAGCAAUGCCGCGUGAGUGAUGAAGGCCUUAGGGUUGUAAAGCUCUUUUACCCGGGAUGAUAAUGGCAGUACCGGGAGAAUAAGCCCCGGCUAACUCCGUGCCAGCAGCCUCCGUAA